GCUAUAGCUCAGUUGGUAGAGUGUUUGCCUCAAAUGCACAAGGUCCUGGGUUCAAUCCCUAGCACCA
Molecule: transfer RNA, 67 nt
Filed under: Marmota monax (woodchuck)
Lineage: Eukaryota; Metazoa; Chordata; Mammalia; Rodentia; Sciuridae
Description: tRNA.Leu
Rfam family: tRNA (bases 5-62)
About the family: Transfer RNA (tRNA) molecules are approximately 80 nucleotides in length. Their secondary structure includes four short double-helical elements and three loops (D, anti-codon, and T loops).
Source: RNAcentral